CGAGCAGGCGGUUUUAUAAGUCGGAUGUGAAAUCCUACGGCUCAACCGUAGAACUGCAUUCGAUACUGUGGAACUUGAGUACUGGAGAGGAAAGCGGAACUCAUGGUGUAGCGGUAAAAUGCGUAGAUAUCAUGAGGAACACCAAUGGCGAAGGCAGCUUACUGGACAAUAACUGACGCUGAGGCACGAAGCGUGGGUAGCGAAAG
This 206-nucleotide ribosomal RNA is filed under the name uncultured bacterium. RNAcentral's name for it is "partial 16S ribosomal RNA". It matches the Rfam family "Bacterial small subunit ribosomal RNA", at positions 568 to 774 of the family's 1533-position model. The record is from RNAcentral.